RNAcentral lists this ribosomal RNA (470 nucleotides) under uncultured eukaryote. Its description in RNAcentral is "eukaryotic LSU rRNA". It matches the Rfam family "Eukaryotic large subunit ribosomal RNA", at positions 713 to 1181 of the family's 3401-position model. The record is from RNAcentral.
CGCGCAACGAAAGCGAAUGGCGGGACGCUCUCCCGCAGGGGGGCGGCGCCGCCGGCCGGACGUCCUCGAGGCGGACCGAGCCGGAGCGCUCGCGUCGGGACCCGAAAGGUGGUGAUCUAUCCGUGCGCGCGGCGAAGCCGGGGGAAACCCCGGUGGAGGCCCGUCGACGGUACUGACGUGCAAAUCGUUCGUCCGACGUGCGAAUAGGGGCGAAAGACCAAUCGAACCUCCUAGUAGCUGGUUUCCGCCGAAAUUUCCCUCAGGAUAGCGGCCAUCGCGGAAACGUUUUGACCGGUAGAGCGAACGACUAGAGGUACCGGGGCCGUAACGGCCUCGACCUAUUCUCGAACUCCGAACGGGCAAGGAGCCGGGGUCGCCCGAUCGGACCCCGGACGUGAAGUCGACGAUGGUCGGUGGGGCUGGUUUUGGUAAGCAGAACGGGCGAUUCGGGAUGAACCGGAAGCGGGGAG